RNAcentral lists this ribosomal RNA (423 nucleotides) under uncultured cyanobacterium. RNAcentral's name for it is "bacterial SSU rRNA". It matches the Rfam family "Bacterial small subunit ribosomal RNA", at positions 356 to 795 of the family's 1533-position model. The record is from RNAcentral. Lineage: Bacteria; Bacillati; Cyanobacteriota.
GGGGAAUUUUCCGCAAUGGGCGAAAGCCUGACGGAGCAAUACCGCGUGAGGGAGGAAGGCUUUUGGGUUGUAAACCUCUUUUCUUAGGGAAGAAGAACUGACGGUACCUAAGGAAUCAGCAUCGGCUAACUCCGUGCCAGCAGCCGCGGUAAUACGGAGGAUGCAAGCGUUAUCCGGAAUUAUUGGGCGUAAAGCGUCCGCAGGUGGCCUUUCAAGUCUGCUGUCAAAGACCAGAGCUCAACUCUGGGCAGGCGGUGGAAACUGGGAGGCUAGAGUACGGUAGGGGUAGAGGGAAUUCCCAGUGUAGCGGUGAAAUGCGUAGAGAUUGGGAAGAACACCAGUGGCGAAGGCGCUCUACUGGACCGAAACUGACACUCAGGGACGAAAGCUAGGGGAGUUUACAGAUUAGAUACCCCUGUAGUC